CAGAGCAUAGCCAAAUUAGUAAGGCAUCUCGUUUACACUGAGUAAUUGUCUGUUCAAGUCAGACUGCCCUGA
This 72-nucleotide transfer RNA is filed under the name Trachyrincus murrayi (roughnose grenadier). Its description in RNAcentral is "tRNA-Val". It matches the Rfam family "tRNA". From Rfam's summary of the family: Transfer RNA (tRNA) molecules are approximately 80 nucleotides in length. Their secondary structure includes four short double-helical elements and three loops (D, anti-codon, and T loops). The record is from RNAcentral. Lineage: Eukaryota; Metazoa; Chordata; Actinopteri; Gadiformes; Macrouridae.